AGAGCAUGUAGGGAUGGCAAUCAAGGAUCUGGACCGCGGGCAUGGCCCGUAAAAGCUUGCAGGGCGGGAUUGGACCUCCAUUUGGUAAGCCCGCAAAAUUGCGGGCCUCGCGGGACGGGUUCAAAGCGGGAUGGGCUACAGGUUAACCUGUGGGAUUUUGAAGACCCGCAACCCUAAGUCCCCAUUUCUGCCUUCACCUAAAACAUAGAGAGUGAGAGAGAGAGAAGGCGAUUCGACGUUAUGUAGCUCCGGUGAUGGUGGUUUCAGGGUUGAUGAUGCUUCCGGUCUCCCAAGC
Molecule: long non-coding RNA, 295 nt
Filed under: Brassica napus (rape)
Lineage: Eukaryota; Viridiplantae; Streptophyta; Magnoliopsida; Brassicales; Brassicaceae
Description: long non-coding RNA (BNAP_LNC021919)
Source: RNAcentral